GAUGAACGCUGGCGGCGUGCUUAACACAUGCAAGUCGAACGGAAAGGCCCAAGCUUGCUUUGGUACUCGAGUGGCGAACGGGUGAGUAACACGUGGGUGAUCUGCCCUGCACUUCGGGAUAAGCCUGGGAAACUGGGUCUAAUACCGGAUAGGACCACAUUUUGGAUGGUGUGGUGGAAAGUUUUUCGGUGUGGGAUGAGCUCGCGGCCUAUCAGCUUGUUGGUGGGGUAAUGGCCUACCAAGGCGUCGACGGGUAGCCGGCCUGAGAGGGUGUACGGCCACAUUGGGACUGAGAUACGGCCCAGACUCCUACGGGAGGCAGCAGUGGGGAAUAUUGCACAAUGGGCGCAAGCCUGAUGCAGCGACGCCGCGUGGGGGAUGACGGCCUUCGGGUUGUAAACUCCUUUCGCUAGGGACGAAGCGCAAGUGACGGUACCUGGAGAAGAAGCACCGGCUAACUACGUG
This 465-nucleotide ribosomal RNA is filed under the name uncultured bacterium. RNAcentral's name for it is "partial 16S ribosomal RNA". It matches the Rfam family "Bacterial small subunit ribosomal RNA", at positions 28 to 507 of the family's 1533-position model. The record is from RNAcentral.